GAAACACUGCUGUCCCGUAGCAAGGAGAGCCUGGAAGAAAAUGAGUCCCUUACAGGGACAAAAGGAAGUAUUUUGAGUGCUCAAAUCCUGUUCCAAUUUGUGUCCCUCUGAAGCCUGAGGAACUGCCCUGCCGCUCGGUGGCGUGCAGUUCAGAUUUGCUGGACCUAGGACCACAUUUGUGGUUUACAAUGGCUGCUUAGUGCUGCUCCACACUUGUCUUUAUAUCCCUCUGAAGAAGGACUCAUUAAGCUACUAUACAGAUGUCCAAUUACUCCAGCACCAUUUGUUGAAGAAGACUAUCUUUCCCCCAUUGAACUGCUUUUGCACCUUUGUCAAAAACAGAUGGGAAGAGUCGUAUUGCUCACACUUUGCGGAUCACUUCCCUACGGUGCCUAGACACCCAGGGUUCUGUGUUGGACACCAUGAAGAACACAGCAGUGGAUAACACAGCCUUGCCCUUGGGAUUUCACAGGCAGUCCAAGAACAAAAGCCAUGAGAGCCUCACAGAGGCUCAUGUAAAAGCAUCAGAGCAUCUUGUAAAAGCAGAGAAGGGAGAGACUUCUUCCCUAUGGGGAAGAGAAGAGAGUCUUCAGGGAAGAGGGAGCCCUGGAGGAGGUCACGAAUGAUAAGAAGAGCUUUGUGUUCUCUACCCUGAGGAAGUCCCUCCUCCACUUCUGAGAAGCCCAGGUUCUACUUUGACCUUACCAGAGUUACAGGACGGCAGGGUGGGGGAGGGCUGUAGAAUGGGGAAGAGUCUGUACACCUGCUAUGUAUGGCUGUUGGUGGGUUUUUCUUUGUGCCUUUUUUUUCCUGUUUGUUUAAUGCAUAUUUUUUCCUCCUGCCUUCAGGACACAGUGACCUAUAUUUCAGUUUUGGCAAGGGACAAUGCCAGAGUGUGGGAAGGAAGAGCCCUGGGCAGAGAUAGUUAAACUUUGGCAGGCUAAUGUUUGAUGCUGCUUCAUUGCCUUCUUACUUUUAAAUAUAAGAACCACACCAUCCAGAGAAGGAACAAAGACAGGUGACCUCUCAAGACCCUUUUCAACUACUCUGACUCUGAAGUACCCAGGAAUAUAUUUUUUUAAAUGCAUGUAAACACUAGAUGCAUAGGACCCCCUGAGCGUUCCUAAAAUAUGUCUUGGACCCUCUUACUGCUCUGCUUAACAGCUUCAAUGAGUAUCUCCUAUCUAGAGAAAAAACUUCAAAUUCCUCAUGGUGGCAUUCAAGACACUUCAAAUUCUAGCCUCUACCUUGGCACCUGCUACUUUCUUCCGAUCUCCCACCAGACAUACCAAGCCAUAUGUUCCUCCCUGCACAUACUGGCUCUAUCCCCCAUGACAGCUCAGCCAAUUCUCUACCACCUUGCCCCAUCUCUCUAAGUCCCACUCACCUUCCUGCCCCAGUUCAGAA
RNAcentral lists this long non-coding RNA (1407 nucleotides) under Equus asinus (donkey). RNAcentral describes it as "lncRNA (ENSEASG00005014116.2)". The record is from RNAcentral. Lineage: Eukaryota; Metazoa; Chordata; Mammalia; Perissodactyla; Equidae.